Small nucleolar RNA from Nannospalax galili (Upper Galilee mountains blind mole rat), 131 nucleotides. The record is from Ensembl. NCBI's taxonomy places the organism in Eukaryota, Metazoa, Chordata, Mammalia, Rodentia, Spalacidae.
AACCUCAUUCUCCAUGAGAAUGGGCACUGUUUGUCAGUGUCCAGAAUUGGUCAAUGUGGCUAAAUUAAGACAGGUUAUGCUUCCAUCAUAGUAAGUGCAUUACAGUGGUGACAAUGAGACCUGUAACAUUU